AUUGAACGCUGGCGGCAUGCUUUACACAUGCAAGUCGAACGGCAGCGCGGGCUUCGGCCUGGCGGCGAGUGGCGAACGGGGGAGUAAUGCAUUGGAACAUGCCCAGUAGUGGGGGAUAGCCCGGCGAAAGCCGGAUUAAUACCGCAUACGACCUGAGGUGGAAAGCGGGGGACCGAAAGGCCUCGCGCUAUUGGAGCGGCCGAUGUCGGAUUAGCUAGUUGGUGGGGUAAAGGCUUACCAAGGCGACGAUCCGUAGCUGGUCUGAGAGGACGACCAGCCACACUGGGACUGAGACACGGCCCAGACUCCUACGGGAGGCAGCAGUGGGGAAUUUUGGACAAUGGGGGCAACCCUGAUCCAGCCAUGCCGCGUGCGGGAAGAAGGCCUUCGGGUUGUAAACCGCUUUUGUUCGGGAAGAAAUCCUCUGGGCUAAUACCCCGGGGGGAUGACGGUACCGGAAGAAUAAGCACCGGCUAACUACGU
RNAcentral lists this ribosomal RNA (483 nucleotides) under uncultured bacterium. RNAcentral describes it as "partial 16S ribosomal RNA". It matches the Rfam family "Bacterial small subunit ribosomal RNA", at positions 29 to 506 of the family's 1533-position model. The record is from RNAcentral.